This 208-nucleotide ribosomal RNA is filed under the name uncultured bacterium. Its description in RNAcentral is "partial 16S ribosomal RNA". It matches the Rfam family "Bacterial small subunit ribosomal RNA", at positions 568 to 773 of the family's 1533-position model. The record is from RNAcentral.
UGCGUAGGCGGCGGGGAAAGUCAGAUGUGAAAUCCGGAGGCUCAACCUCCGAAUUGCAUCCGAUACUACCUCGCUAGAGAUUUGUAGAGGAGCUUGGAAUUCUCGGUGUAGCAGUGAAAUGCGUAGAUAUCGAGAAGAACGCUCGCAGCGAAGGCGAAGCUCUGGGCAAUUUCUGACGCUGAUGCACGAAGGCGUAGGGGAGACAAAC